AGGAAUAUUGAGCAAUGGGCGCAAGCCUGACUCAGCAACGCCGGCGUGGAUGAUGACGGCCUUCGGGUUGUAAAAUCCUUUUCUGGGGGAAGAUAAUGACGGUACCCCAGGAAUAAGUUCCGGCUAACUACGUGCCAGCAGCCGCGGUAAAACGUAGGGGACAAGCGUUAUCCGGAUUUACUGGGCGUAAAGCGCAUGUAGGUGGCUUGCCAAGUUGGACGUGAAAGCUCCCGGCUUAACUGGGAGAGGUCGUUCAAAACUGGCAAGCUUGAGGUUGGAAGAGGAGAGCGGAAUUCCCGGUGUAGUGGUGGAAUGCGUAGAUAUCGGGAGGAACACCAGUGGCGAAAGCGGCUCUCUGGUUCAAUACUGACACUGAGAUGCGAAAGCGUGGGGAGCGAACGGGAUUAGAUACCCCGGUAGUCCACGCUGUAAACGAUGGAUACUAGGUGUAGGCGGUCAUUAACCCCGUCUGUGCCGAAGCCAACGCGUUAAGUAUCCCGCCUGGGGACUACGGCCGCAAGGUUA
Molecule: ribosomal RNA, 525 nt
Filed under: uncultured Chloroflexota bacterium
Lineage: Bacteria; Bacillati; Chloroflexota
Description: bacterial SSU rRNA
Rfam family: Bacterial small subunit ribosomal RNA
Source: RNAcentral